Molecule: unclassified non-coding RNA, 339 nt
Filed under: soil metagenome
Description: partial contains 5.8S ribosomal RNA, internal transcribed spacer 2, and large subunit ribosomal RNA
Rfam family: 5.8S ribosomal RNA (bases 1-120)
Source: RNAcentral
GAUGAAGAACGUAGUGAAAUGCGAUAAGUAAUGUGAAUUGCAGAAUUCAGUGAAUCAUCGAAUCUUUGAACGCACAUUGCGCCCGCCAGUAUUCUGGCGGGCAUGCCUGUCCGAGCGUCAUUUCAACCAUCAAGCCCCCGGGCUUGUGUUGGGGACCUGCGGCUGCCCGCAGGCCCUGAAAACCAGUGGCGGGCUCGCUGUCACACCGAGCGUAGUAGCAAUCACCUCGCUCAGGGCGUGCUGCGGGUUCCGGCCGUUAAACAGCCUUACAAAACCCAAGGUUGACCUCGGAUCAGGUAGGAAGACCCGCUGAACUUAAGCAUAUCAAUAAGCGGAGGA